This is a long non-coding RNA of Oreochromis aureus, 1939 nucleotides long. RefSeq lists it as uncharacterized. Lineage: Eukaryota; Metazoa; Chordata; Actinopteri; Cichliformes; Cichlidae. The transcript has 4 exons. The record is from RefSeq and is a predicted model, not a curated record.
GACAGCCAGCGGAGUUUUAACUGAUGAAUCUCCAGCUCUUUUAUAUCUUUAUUUAUGCAGUUUUUACCCCUACAUAUUUAAAAACUUCUAGAAUACUGCUGUGAUAAUAACCCCAUAAGCAGAAAGAACUUUGUUUUUAUUUUUAAAGUUUGAAUGACUAUAACUAAUGAUCUCUAUAGUCAUUUAAACAAUCUUGGAAAAAAACUGGAAAAAAAUGUUUUAAAGCUGGUAGUGAGCCCUGCGGUGAUGGGUAUGGGCUGGAAACGGUGGCACUGACAAAAAAGACGAGCUGAAGGUGGCAGAGGUGAAGAUGCUAAGAUUUUAAUUGGGCGUGAGCACAAAAGAACACAGGAAAAUGGAGAGAAGUUGGCGCAAAAGAACAGAGGAAAUUCCAUUGGAGUAAUAUGGCAUGACCACGCCCACUAUCCCGCAGUGCAACAGAGACAGCUGUCAGUGGUGAGCCAGGAUGCAAGCUGUGCGUGUGAAGUGCAGAGAACAACAGAAGUACAUCAGUUUUGAGGGCCAACUGACCUACAGAUCAUUUUUGGAAUGCGUUGCCAAGAAGUUCAACAUCCUGAACAUAUGACUUCUCUAAGAUACUUGAUCCAAUUGUGAAGGAUAUGAAAAUCCUGGAGGGGAUGGAAUUACAAUUGCCCUGCAUGAUGACCCAGUACAUGGAACUAUUGUCCAAGUUACUACUGACAACUUUGGUCUUCACUGUCUGUUUGGUUUUCUAGAGUCAUUUAGUGCCAGAUAUUGUUGCAACUUUUGUCUUGCUGAGAAAGAGGACUUUCAGAAAGAGUUUACAGAGGAUUCACCCAAGAUAAUCAUGCGAACUCAAGCACUUCACACUGAACAUUGCCAAAAAAUGGAGGCAAAUCCCAGACUGCCUUAUGUGAUGGGUGUUAAACAGUCUUGGAUUCUAAACUCAUUGCAGUACUUCAAUACAUGUGAAAAUUUCUCUGUUGAUAUUAUGCACGAUAUCUUGGAGGGAGUCGCACAAUAUGAAAUGAAACUGAUUGUGUUACAUGCAAUAGAUCAGUAUACAACAUCAAAGGAAGUGGACAUGAGAAUUAAGAGCUUAAACUGUGGCUAAAUGGAACAAAACAACAAACCACCUACAGUGAAGUUGGGAGAGGACUCAAAUGACUUGGAGUUAAAUGCCAUCCAGUCCUGGUGUUUACAUCGGCAUCUACCACUCAUCUUUGGAGACUUAGUUUGUCCAAACGAUCAGCACUGGUAUUUGCUACUGCUGUUGUUUCAAAUAGUGAAUAUUUUCAGCAGUGUUAUCAAAAGGUAUCACUAUUUCCUUGAAACACCUGAUCGCCAAACGCCACAGGUUAUCCAAGGGUUUAUUUCCACACAAGAAGCUGCUACCAAAGCAUCAUUUCGUGAUGCAUUAUCCUACAUGUAUACUUAAAACACGACCACUUUUGCAUAGCUGGUGCAUACGCAAUGAAGCAAAACACAGCUUCUUUAAAAAAAAACAAUUGAAAAGUUUCAGAAAUGUAAUUAAAACGUUGGCAACAAAACAUCAAAGUCCUAUUGCUUUCAGUUGGCAGACAUUUGACCCCAAGAGACUGACCACUGGACCAAGUAACAUGCUUUCUUGAAAUGCAUUGGACUGGGGCUGUGAGAUGGCAGAGACUCUUCAGCUACCAAUCAACACCAAGGUGUUAAAUGUUAGAUGGGCAAAACACCAUGGAAAUAUUUAUCGUGCAGAUUUAGUUGUUUGUAUAAAAGUCCAUUGUGAAAUGCCAGUUUCAAUGAUUUUCAAGUUCUGUGUAAAAGAGACGGACCUCAUGUAAUUCAUGCCAAAGAGCUUUUCUGUUGUAAAGCAUUUGAUUUACAGGUGUCAUACAGUCAUGGUGAUUCCAGUUUUUAUAUUGUACCAAACUGUUUCCUCUGAACAAUAAAGGUGGCUGCUAAAACCAAAAAA